RNAcentral lists this transfer RNA (105 nucleotides) under Nomascus leucogenys (northern white-cheeked gibbon). It matches the Rfam family "tRNA". Rfam says of the family: Transfer RNA (tRNA) molecules are approximately 80 nucleotides in length. Their secondary structure includes four short double-helical elements and three loops (D, anti-codon, and T loops). Further hydrogen bonds mediate the characteristic L-shaped molecular structure. tRNAs have two regions of fundamental functional importance: the anti-codon, which is responsible for specific mRNA codon recognition, and the 3' end, to which the tRNAs corresponding amino acid is attached (by aminoacyl-tRNA synthetases). tRNAs cope with the degeneracy of the genetic code in two manners: having more than one tRNA (with a specific anti-codon) for a particular amino acid; and 'wobble' base-pairing, i.e. permitting non-standard base-pairing at the 3rd anti-codon position. The record is from Rfam by way of RNAcentral. Lineage: Eukaryota; Metazoa; Chordata; Mammalia; Primates; Hylobatidae.
GUCAGGAUGGCCGAGUGGUCUAAGGCGCCAGACUCAAGCUACACUUCCCCGCGCUGGGGUUUCUGGUCUCCAAUGGAGGCGUGGGUUCGAAUCCCACUUCUGACA